GGCGGAGAGGGGGCUCUCUGCAGACAGGGCUGGCGUUGGAGGUGUGGGUGAAAUCCUGGUCCCGGCACGCAGGCACACACCGACUGGGUGGCCUCGGGCAAGUGACGUAACCUCUCUGAGCCCCCAGGUCCUCCUUUGGCAAGCGGGAUAGCGGUGGCCGCGUCACAGAGUGGCCAUGAGGAACCGCACCACGGCAGCGCAGACGAGUGGCUGGUCACCAAGGAAGCAGCACCCCCCCCCCACCAGCCCGCCCGCGUCUCCCGCGGGGGUCUUGCGGUCUCCCUGCGCCACUCGCUGCCCUCCCGGGCUUGCCCGUCGGGGGACAUCUGUGCCUGGCGUCACCCCGCCCCGACUCCGGCCUCCGCUGGGGGCCCCCGCCAUCACCGCCGACCUGGGCCUGUUACCCCGCGGCUCGUCCUAAUCCCGCGGCCUUUCCUCCACCGUUCAGGAUGGCGCUUGGGCUCCACAACCCAGCGAACGGGGCCAAGGGCACAGGGCAAAUGAGCGUGUAUCCUUCCGAGGAGGUCAGAACCCGGCACUUCCACUUCUGCUCACCUGGCAGGCUCCGCACACCGCGACGGCGAGCCUCACUGACAACGGGGAGAUCCGCAUCUCCAGGUGGCCUUGGGCCUAGCUGAAGAUCGGGCUUCUACCCGGGAGGACAAGGCGGGCGAGGGAGCACUGGCACACAGCUCUGCCGCAGGUAAAGAAAACCCCGGAAAUGCCCCAUGGUUCACUCUUGGCAGCUUUCAAAACUGCUGGAAAAAUCCAGAGAGUUUCCAAGAAGCCGCCAGGGGAGCUCACAACCUGCCCGGAUCUCUGGCAGCCGCCUGUGAGCUUUUCUCUCCGACCCCCCCCCCCCUUUGCAGGGGGACUGGAGGGUCCCUGUGUGUCCGUCCAGGCGCCCAUGGAAAGGCCCCACCUGCGAGGCCCUGGAGGCCUUCUAUCUUCAAAAAACAAAGUAAUUCACUUUUAAUGACCGCCAGUGUUUUCCUUCCCAGUUCUCUUUGAGCAGAUAAUGCGUCUGAGGCCUUCCCGACAGGGUUAAACCACCGUGACCUUCAUAAUCAGAGAACAGAAAUAAAUUAUAUUUACUC
Molecule: long non-coding RNA, 1097 nt
Organism: Leopardus geoffroyi (Geoffroy's cat)
Lineage: Eukaryota; Metazoa; Chordata; Mammalia; Carnivora; Felidae
Exons: 2
Source: RefSeq, a predicted model, not a curated record